AAUAGCCGAACGGCUGAACCAGCAAUUUGGAAGAAUCUAAAACAAAGUCACAUGUAUAAAAUUCUAGAUAGAAAACAAAUAAUGACAAAUAUCUAUCUAUUAGUCUUGACCAAACUACGUGCCAGCAGUCGCGGCAACACGGAGAAGACAAGUGUUAUUCAUUUUUAAUCGGUUUAAAGGGUACCUAGACGGGAAAUAAAGCCGGAGUAGGAACUAAUUUUCUAGAGUUUUAAGUAAGAAAGUCGAAUAGCUGGAGAAGAGAUAAAAUAUUUUGAUACCAGAUAGACGGUUAACGGCAUAGGCAACUUUCUAAAUUAUAACUGACGUUGAGGAACGAAGCCCUGGGUAACUAAAAGGAUUAGAUACCCGAUUAGUCCAGGGAGACAAUGAUGAAUGCCAUAAAUGAAAGCACAAGCAUUCCACCUUAAGACUAAAGCGGCAACGCCCAAAUUGAAAUCAUUAGACCGUUCCUGAAACCAGUAGUGAAGUAUGUUAUUUAAUUUGAUGGUCCGCAAACCACCUUACCACGUUUUGAAUAUUAUUAGAUUAAUACAAGCGUUGCACGGCUGUCUUUAGCUAAUGUCGUGAGGCUUUGGUUAACUCCUUUAAUAAGCGAAAACCCUUGUUUUAUUUAUCUAUAAAACAGUUCUCCACUUACAACGGAUAAGAUAAUAGGGAUUAAGACAAGUCAUCAUGGCCUUAAURACGU
Molecule: ribosomal RNA, 709 nt
Filed under: Verrucariopsis suaedae
Lineage: Eukaryota; Fungi; Ascomycota; Eurotiomycetes; Verrucariales; Verrucariaceae
Description: SSU rRNA
Source: RNAcentral